GAUCAUUAACGAAUUUGAUUAACAUCUUUUUCUGUGAAUUUUUCUCUCUUUCUAGAGAGCAUUGUGCUUCGGCCCUGGUAUUUAAUUACAGGGGCCGGUAGAAAACAUUUUAAACCUUUGUCUAAAACUAAUUAUAUUAAUAAUUAAAACUUUCAACAACGGAUCUCUAGGUUCUCGCAUCGAUGAAGAACGCAGCGAAAUGCGAUACGUAAUGUGAAUUGCAGAAUUUUGUGAAUCAUCGAAUCUUUGAACGCACAUUGCACCUGGUGGUAUUCCGCCAGGUAUGCCUGUUUGAGCGUCAUUUCUCUCUCACCCCGGUGGUUUUGUUCAAUCUCCCUUUACAGGGAGUUGGAUGAAAAGAAAUGGCAAGGCUCUUGAAGCUGAACGUGUUUUAGGUCUUACCAACUACACUACUAAGCUUUUGAAAGUCGGCUUGAUAAUUCUUUCAAUGUUGACCUCAAAUCAGGUAAGACUACCCGCCCGAACUUAACCAUAUCAAUAAGCGGAGGAU
This 511-nucleotide unclassified non-coding RNA is filed under the name Blastobotrys aristatus. RNAcentral's name for it is "Blastobotrys aristata sequence contains 18S rRNA gene, ITS1, 5.8S rRNA gene, ITS2, 28S rRNA gene". The stretch from base 148 to 301 matches the Rfam family "5.8S ribosomal RNA". The record is from RNAcentral. Lineage: Eukaryota; Fungi; Ascomycota; Dipodascomycetes; Dipodascales; Trichomonascaceae.